UACGGAGGGUGCAGCGUUAUCCGGAUUCACUGGGUUUAAAGGGUGCGUAGGCGGGUGUGUAAGUCAGUGGUGAAAUCUUCGAGCUUAACUCGGAAACUGCCGUUGAUACUAUACAUCUUGAAUAUUGUGGAGGUGAGCGGAAUAUGUCAUGUAGCGGUGAAAUGCUUAGAUAUGACAUAGAACACCGAUUGCGAAGGCAGCUUGCUACACAAUGAUUGACGCUGAGGCACGAAAGCGUGGGGAUCAAACAGG
This 252-nucleotide ribosomal RNA is filed under the name uncultured bacterium. RNAcentral's name for it is "partial 16S ribosomal RNA". It matches the Rfam family "Bacterial small subunit ribosomal RNA", at positions 524 to 776 of the family's 1533-position model. The record is from RNAcentral.